GCCUGUGUAGCUCAGUGGAUAAAGAGCGUUGGCCUGCGGACUCAAGGGUUCCAGGUUCGAUUCCGGUCAAGGGCA
RNAcentral lists this transfer RNA (75 nucleotides) under Myotis lucifugus (little brown bat). It matches the Rfam family "tRNA". From Rfam's summary of the family: Transfer RNA (tRNA) molecules are approximately 80 nucleotides in length. Their secondary structure includes four short double-helical elements and three loops (D, anti-codon, and T loops). The record is from Rfam by way of RNAcentral. Lineage: Eukaryota; Metazoa; Chordata; Mammalia; Chiroptera; Vespertilionidae.